GGGGAAGCAAAAGGCGCUCGCAACGAACGCGUGCGGACUGAUGGUGAUGGAGUGAUGGUGAUGGGUGAGAAGAAAUAGGGAAAAGGAAACCGCGCUGUUAGAACGCGCCGAGUGGUACUGCUGCUCCGGUCAGGCCUCGGGCACGCAAAUAUCUGGCUGCUCGCUGAAACCGUCCGCUCAAAAAUAAAACAUCUUUUGUCCCUUGCUGGCAGGUACGGAAGGCAGCAGCGAGGAUCUGUGCUGCCGGCGUCCCCAAGCACAGAUGUCUGGCACAGCAUCCUCGUGGCACAGCGUGGAGGCAUCCCCGGAGAGGCGCACGGGGUGGCCCAUGCGUGUGGAGUUGUAAACCAGCACAAACGGUUGUCACAGCCCUCAGCAACGGCAUGGCACGUUCACAGGGCGAGCCCAUCGCUUCCACUGCAUCGAAACCACAGCUGUGCCACGACCACAUCGCAUCUGCAUUAAGAUAUUAGAGCAUUCCAACCACGUGAAGAUCUGGGCUCAGGCAGAUCUCCAGAGACACCCACCUCACCUCGGG
This 538-nucleotide long non-coding RNA is filed under the name Gallus gallus (chicken). The record is from RNAcentral. Lineage: Eukaryota; Metazoa; Chordata; Aves; Galliformes; Phasianidae.